GGAGGUAGUGACAAUAAAUCACAAUGCGGGACUUUUAGUUUUGCAAUUGGAUUGAGAACAAUGUAAAAGAGUUAUCGAUAAACAAUUGGAGGGCAAGUCUGGUGCCAGCAGCCGCGGUAAUUCCAGCUCCAAUAGCGUAUAUUAACGUUGUUGCAGUUAAAAAGCUCGUAGUUGAAGUGUGGGGUGAAAGAAUGUGUGUUCAUUUUGAAUGUGCGUUUGGUCACCCCCUCUCCAAUGUGUUAUUAUGGGUAUUAAUUUACUUGUAAUAGCUAUUGGUCAUUUACUGUGAGAAAAUUAGAGUGUUCAAAGCAGGCAUUUGCUUGAAUAUAUUAGCAUGGAAUAAUAAUAAAAGGCUUUUGUGGUCGAUUUAAUUGGUUUGUUCAUGAAAGCAAGAUUAAUAGGGACAGUUGGGGGUAUUCAUAUUCAAUAGUUAGAGGUGAAAUUCUCGGAUUUAUGGAAGAUGAACAAGUGCGAAAGCA
This 479-nucleotide ribosomal RNA is filed under the name Blastocystis sp. RNAcentral describes it as "SSU rRNA". It matches the Rfam family "Eukaryotic small subunit ribosomal RNA", at positions 460 to 953 of the family's 1831-position model. RNAcentral also lists the same sequence under 1 other name. The record is from RNAcentral. Lineage: Eukaryota; Bigyra; Opalinata; Blastocystidae.